Long non-coding RNA from Musa acuminata AAA Group (dessert banana), 713 nucleotides. RefSeq lists it as uncharacterized. The transcript has 2 exons. The record is from RefSeq and is a predicted model, not a curated record. NCBI's taxonomy places the organism in Eukaryota, Viridiplantae, Streptophyta, Magnoliopsida, Zingiberales, Musaceae.
AAAAACCAGAGCCUUACUUGAGUAAAAACCAAUCUGUAAGCCUUUCAGCAAUCCUUGUAAGCCUUUCAGCAAUCCUUUAAACCCAUCAACAUCAUCAUCAUCAACAACAAUAACAUGGUGACGCUGCUGCUGCUGGGAUGAGGAGGAUGGGGAUUGACGACAUGGUGACGCUGGUCUUUAUGGUUCUUGACGUGCGAUGGGAUAUCGCAAGUCACCUGUUCACUUUAACCUAUAUAUAUAUAUAUAUAUAUAUAUAUAUAUAUAUAUAUAUAUAUAUAUAUAUAGUAUCGAAAAGAAUUUGAAGAAAUUUACAAAAGCAUAUGAGUUUAUUAUCAUAAACUUGUAUUUAAAUAUUAUAAACCAAUGAUAAUCGUAACUAAGGAUUUAAACUUAUUAUACUAAUAGUUCAAAUAUCAUCAAGAAUAAUAAUAUCUAAACCAAUAAUGGCAUUGAACAUAAGUAAAAAAUUAUAAGACACAGACAUAAAACCAUCAUAACUAUAUUGAUUCUGAAUGAUGAUUUUAAGAUGAAAAUAAUAUCGUCUGUCUGUAGUCACACAACCAACUGCAAUUUAUUCAAAUGAAUGGUUUUGGCAUGUCGGAAAAAGAAAGUCUUGUCGGGGAAGGAUCAAUAAAAGACUAAUGCUAGCUCAAAUUUCUGCAGACCAAGAAACCCAAACAAAUUCUCCGACAAAAAGAGAAAAAAAAAAUCCA